RNAcentral lists this small nuclear RNA (82 nucleotides) under Mesocricetus auratus (golden hamster). The record is from RNAcentral. Lineage: Eukaryota; Metazoa; Chordata; Mammalia; Rodentia; Cricetidae.
GUGUUUGCUUCAGCAGCACAUAUAGUUAAAAAAAUUAGAACAAUACAGAGAAAAUUAACAUGGCCCCUGUGCAAGGAUGAUA